UCAAGAUCAGACAGGAAUGUAAGACGACCAGGAUAUCAAGUGUGAAUACGAAAACUGGCAGCAGCAGUCGACCGUCAAUUUAACGGACCUUUCAGUAUAACGACACAUCUGGCCCCCAAGUCGGAGGAUGGCGGAACCAGGACGCAUUGCAUUUUGUGAUUUUGAGAAAAGAGAAGAAAUGUCGCCUGAUCAGAUCGCGGAAGUCUUCAACAAAGUUGCAAGCGUGUAUGAUGAAACGUGGAAAGCCAGAGAUUACAGGGACCACGUGUAUGUGGCUGAAGGUGUAGUGGACUACUACCCGGGGGACAGAGAGUCUGUCCGUGUGCUGGACGUGGGGGCCGGGACUGGCAUGUUGGCG
Haliotis rubra (blacklip abalone) is the source of this 358-nucleotide long non-coding RNA. RefSeq lists it as uncharacterized. Lineage: Eukaryota; Metazoa; Mollusca; Gastropoda; Lepetellida; Haliotidae. The record is from RefSeq and is a predicted model, not a curated record. The transcript has 3 exons.